Molecule: transfer RNA, 148 nt
Filed under: Candidatus Woesearchaeota archaeon
Lineage: Archaea; Nanobdellati; Candidatus Woesearchaeota
Description: tRNA-Glu
Source: RNAcentral
GCUCCCGUGGUGUAGUCCGGUCUGAAGAAAAUCUACUAUAUGUGGUUGUUCUUUGGGGAUAACCAAUCAUUUCGGAUUUUCGAUCCGAAGACCUGGGUUCAAAUUGGUGAAAGAUAAACUCUUAACCAUGCGCGUCCCGGCGGGAGCA